ACGAACGCUGGCGGCGUGCUUAACACAUGCAAGUCGAACGGUGAAGCGCCUUCCUUUUUGGUGGGUGUGGAUGAGUGGCGAACGGGUGAGUAACACGUGAGUAGCCUGCCCCCUUCUUCUGGAUAACCGCAUGAAAGUGUGGCUAAUACGGGAUAUUCUGGGUCUGUCGCAUGAUGGGUCUGGGAAAGAUAUUGUUUCGGUGGGGGAUGGGCUCGCGGCCUAUCAGCUUGUUGGUGGGGUGAUGGCCUACCAAGGCGGUGACGGGUAGCCGGCCUGAGAGGGUGGACGGUCACACUGGGACUGAGACACGGCCCAGACUCCUACGGGAGGCAGCAGUGGGGAAUAUUGCACAAUGGGCGCAAGCCUGAUGCAGCGACGCCGCGUGAGGGAUGGAGGCCUUCGGGUUGUGAACCUCUUUCGCCAGUGAAGCAGGCCUGCCUCGUUUGUGGGUGGGUUGACGGUAGCUGGAGAAGAAGCGCCGGCUAACUACGUG
RNAcentral lists this ribosomal RNA (493 nucleotides) under uncultured bacterium. Its description in RNAcentral is "partial 16S ribosomal RNA". It matches the Rfam family "Bacterial small subunit ribosomal RNA", at positions 29 to 507 of the family's 1533-position model. The record is from RNAcentral.